AACGUUCAACGCUCGUUUCUUCGUUCUAAGUCAAAAUCCGGCCAUUUUCGAGUCCGCAACUCUAUAAUGUCAAAUAUGACUUGUCUCAAUCAAAAACCAACAUUUAUGACAUCAAACACAAAAUACGACUUCCUUUCCGAGAAUUUCACAAAUUCGACGAUUAUCGUCCAAUCGUGUGAAUUCUGGCGAAUCCUCAUUACUAAUCAUUCUAGGUGGAUUUUAAUCAACAAAUAGACAUUUCAAGUUACUUAUUACACAAAAUUAUUAACUACAAAUUUUCAUGCUUAUAACUUACUAUGAACUUAAGUCCACUAAUCAACGUUUUCAAACUAUCUUGAACAUACUAACAUCAUAUGAUGAACAUAUGGCAAGUUCUUUCCAAGUUCAUCAAAUUAUUUAGGUUCAAAUUGCUUAUUCAACUUAUUCGGCUUAAGUUCAUUCAUCAAUGACUUAUUACAUGUUCUUAGUAUCUAACUUCAUUAGAUUACACUUCUCUUAUCAUCCUAGUAUGAUAGAGAUAGAGGAGAUAAUAUUAAUUACCUUUGAAGACUACUUGUACUUCUCUUCUCUUGAAAAUCUAGCAAAGGAAAGUUAAACUCCAAAGUGCUUAUUGGUUCUAACAAAUAAGUUGUUUACAAAGAGAGUUUGUGGAGGAAAUAACAAGCAACAAAUGAAUUAAAGGCUUGUUAUUUAUAGAGGAGCUAAGGUUAGGGCAUAAUGGUCUUUAUGUCAUCCCACCUCCUUAAACUAACCUCCUUACUAUUCACUUGCUUAAUCCUUAAGUUUACUUGCCAACCACAACUCUUAUCUCUUACUUGGUUAUUACAUAAAGUUCUUGCCCAUCAAGACUACCCAUAUUAAUAUGGUUUUCUCCAUGGAUCAUGGCUAAUUCAUUGGGCUUGCAUUAAUAAUAGUUUGGGCUUCACUUUAUAAACCACUUGGGCUUAGUAUAAAUCCCACAUAGGUUUACACCUUUAAGCUUAU
RNAcentral lists this long non-coding RNA (984 nucleotides) under Panax ginseng (ginseng). RNAcentral's name for it is "long non-coding RNA (PGIN_LNC017773)". Lineage: Eukaryota; Viridiplantae; Streptophyta; Magnoliopsida; Apiales; Araliaceae. The record is from RNAcentral.